This 395-nucleotide ribosomal RNA is filed under the name uncultured bacterium. RNAcentral describes it as "bacterial SSU rRNA". It matches the Rfam family "Bacterial small subunit ribosomal RNA", at positions 28 to 420 of the family's 1533-position model. The record is from RNAcentral.
GAUGAACGCUAGCGGCAGGCUUAAUACAUGCAAGUCGAGGGGCAGCAUAAGUAGCAAUACUUGAUGGCGACCGGCAAACGGGUGCGGAACACGUACGCAACCUUCCUUUAAGUGGGGAAUAGCCCGGGGAAACCCGGAUUAAUACCCCGUAAUAUUAUGAUGUGGCAUCACUUUAUAAUUAUAGAUUCAUCGCUUAAAGAUGGGCGUGCGCCUGAUUAGGUAGUUGGCGGGGUAACGGCCACCAAGCCUGCGAUCAGUAACUGGUGUGAGAGCACGACCAGUCACACGGGCACUGAGACACGGGCCCGACUCCUACGGGAGGCAGCAGUAAGGAAUAUUGGUCAAUAGGACGCAAGUCUGAACCAGCCAUGCCGCGUGGAGGAUGAAGGUCCUCU